RNAcentral lists this ribosomal RNA (492 nucleotides) under uncultured bacterium. RNAcentral describes it as "partial 16S ribosomal RNA". It matches the Rfam family "Bacterial small subunit ribosomal RNA", at positions 29 to 507 of the family's 1533-position model. The record is from RNAcentral.
AGUGAACGCUGGCGGUAGGCCUAACACAUGCAAGUCGAACGGCAGCACAGUAAGAGCUUGCUCUUACGGGUGGCGAGUGGCGGACGGGUGAGGAAUACAUCGGAAUCUACUUUUUCGUGGGGGAUAACGUCGGGAAACUUACGCUAAUACCGCAUACGACCUACGGGUGAAAGCAGGGGAUCUUCGGACCUUGCGCGAUUGAAUGAGCCGAUGUCGGAUUAGCUAGUUGGCGGGGUAAAGGCCCACCAAGCCAACGAUCCGUAGCUGGUCUGAGAGGAUGAUCAGCCACACUGGAACUGAGACACGGUCCAGACUCCUACGGGAGGCAGCAGUGGGGAAUAUUGGACAAUGGGCGCAAGCCUGAUCCAGCCAUACCGCGUGGGUGAAGAAGGCCUUCGGGUUGUAAAGCCCUUUUGUUAGGAAAGAAAAGCAGCAGAUUAAUACCCCGCUGUUCUGACGGUACCCAAAGAAUAAGCACCGGCUAACUUCGUG